Molecule: ribosomal RNA, 406 nt
Filed under: uncultured bacterium
Lineage: Bacteria
Description: partial 16S ribosomal RNA
Rfam family: Bacterial small subunit ribosomal RNA
Source: RNAcentral
GAUGAACGCUAGCUGCAGGCUUAACACAUGCAAGUCGAGGGACCGGCGCACGGGUGAGUAAUACGUAUCCAACCUGCCCUUUACUCGGGGAUAGCCUUUCGGAUGAAAGAUUAAUACUCGAUAUAAAGGAUGGGGAUGCGUUUCAUUGGGUUGUGGGUGAGGUAACGGCCCACAAAGCCUUCGAUGGAUAGUGGUUCUGAGAGGAAGGUCCCCGAGAUUGGAACAGGGCCACGAUCCAAACGCGUACGGGAGGCAGGGGUUAGGAAGAUAUGGAAAUAAGCGUUAGCCUGAACCAGCCAAGUAGCGUGAAGGAUGAUGGCUUAUGAGUCGUAAACUUCUUAUAUAUAAGAAGAGGUAUUAUAUGAAUAAGGAUCGGCUAACUCCGUGCCAGCAGCCGCGGUAAUAC